AACGCUGGCGGCGUGCCUAACACAUGCAAGUCGAACGGAGAUAUUCCGCCGUUUGAAGCUUCGGCAGAAAACAUGGGAUAUCUUAGUGGCGAACGGGUGAGUAACGCGUGGGCAACCUGCCCCGUACCGGGGGAUAGCAGUUGGAAACGACUGAUAAUACCGCAUAAGCGCACGGUGUGGCAUCACACAGUGUGAAAAACUCCGGUGGUACGGGAUGGGCCCGCGUCUGAUUAGCUGGUUGGCGGGGUAACGGCCCACCAAGGCGACGAUCAGUAGCCGGGCUGAGAGGCCGGACGGCCACAUUGGGACUGAGACACGGCCCAGACUCCUACGGGAGGCAGCAGUGGGGGAUAUUGCACAAUGGGGGAAACCCUGAUGCAGCGACGCCGCGUGAGUGAAUGAAGUAUUUCGGUAUGUAGAGCUCUAUCAGCAGGGAAGAAAGCCCGCGAAAGCGGGGAUGACGGUACCUGACUAAGAAGCCCCGGCUAACUACGUGCCAGCAGCCGCGGUAAUACGUAGGGGGCAAGCGUUAUCCGGAUUUACUGGGUGUAAAGGGGGCGCAGACGGGAUAGCAAGUCUGAAGUGAAAACCCACGGCUCAACUGUGGGCUUGCUUUGGAAACUGUUAUUCUUGAGUGUCGGAGGGGUAAGCGGAAUUCCUGGUGUAGCGGUGAAAUGCGUAGAUAUCAGGAAGAACACCGGUGGCGAAGGCGGCUUACUGGACGACAACUGACGUUGAGGCCCGAAGGCGUGGGGAGCAACAGGAUUAGAUACCCUGGUAGUCCCGCGGUAAACGAUGAAUACUAGGUGUUGGAAGCAAGCUUUCAGUGCGGACUACGUG
This 840-nucleotide ribosomal RNA is filed under the name uncultured rumen bacterium. RNAcentral describes it as "bacterial SSU rRNA". It matches the Rfam family "Bacterial small subunit ribosomal RNA", at positions 32 to 859 of the family's 1533-position model. The record is from RNAcentral.